Thalassophryne amazonica is the source of this 177-nucleotide long non-coding RNA. RefSeq lists it as uncharacterized. The record is from RefSeq and is a predicted model, not a curated record. Lineage: Eukaryota; Metazoa; Chordata; Actinopteri; Batrachoidiformes; Batrachoididae. The transcript has 3 exons.
CUCGUCAGGGCUCGUAACAUCAGAUCUGAAAGUUCAGAGUCUGUCAUAUGCCCCCUCCCCCCAAAAAUUGCCAGUACUCACAACCAUACUUAAACAUCCCUUGUUUAUUGUUUCAGCAUUCUAAAGAGACAGCGAGACAGAGGGAGGGAGACAGCUUCAUGAACCAUUUUGCAAAUG